UACGUAGGGUGAAAGCGUUGUCCGGAAUUAUUGGGCGUAAAGGGCUCGUAGGCGGAUUGUCGCGUCGGGAGUGAAAACACCGGGCUUAACUCGGUGCUUGCUUUCGAUACGGGCAGACUAGAGGUAUGCAGGGGAGAACGGAAUUCCUGGUGUAGCGGUGAAAUGCGCAGAUAUCAGGAGGAACACCGGUGGCGAAGGCGGUUCUCUGGGCAUUACCUGACGCUGAGGAGCGAAAGUGUGGGGAGCGAUCAGG
This 253-nucleotide ribosomal RNA is filed under the name uncultured bacterium. RNAcentral describes it as "partial 16S ribosomal RNA". It matches the Rfam family "Bacterial small subunit ribosomal RNA", at positions 524 to 776 of the family's 1533-position model. The record is from RNAcentral.